This 253-nucleotide ribosomal RNA is filed under the name uncultured bacterium. Its description in RNAcentral is "partial 16S ribosomal RNA". It matches the Rfam family "Bacterial small subunit ribosomal RNA", at positions 524 to 776 of the family's 1533-position model. The record is from RNAcentral.
CACGGGGGGAGCAAGCGUUGUUCGGAUUCAUUGGGCGUAAAGGGCUCGUAGGUGGCUCUGUAAGUCGGAGGUGAAAGACCACGGCUCAACCGUGGAAACGCCUUCGAAACUGUGGAGCUUGAGGCUGGGAGAGGAGAUCGGAAUUCCUGGUGUAGCGGUGAAAUGCGUAGAUAUCAGGGGGAACACUGGUGGCGAAGGCGGCGUUCUGGACUGCAACUGACACUGAGGAACGAAAGCCAGGGGAGCAAACGGG